Long non-coding RNA from Cyprinus carpio carpio, 638 nucleotides. The record is from Ensembl. NCBI's taxonomy places the organism in Eukaryota, Metazoa, Chordata, Actinopteri, Cypriniformes, Cyprinidae.
AACUCACAUGUCAAUUUACAACCCACACAACUCAAACAAAACUGCAUUCCAUCAGUGUGUAUUAUUAUUAUUAUUAUUAUGGAGAUCCAAGAUAAAUGUACACGAGUAAAGCUAUCAGAACCACCAUGCAGCCAAUACGUUUGCAUGCAUUUACUUUGAUAACAUGAUGGGCCUGUUGCCCACACCUGGGGUGCAUUUCUCUUGACAUGACAAUCCACUGUGAUUCCAAUCCCUAAACUUCGACCGUAGUUGCAUUUUUACGCACAAGUGCAGGUACGCCACUGUUUCACCCCAAGACUGUGCCGGAAGUUGGCAUCUCCACUUUCUAGAAGUGCACCUAUGGUCAACACCGUUUACAGUGACGGCAAACUGAAGGAAUCAGACGGAGGGAGUCUCACAGCAAUUUUGAAGAUCUACUGCAUGUCAGAAAGUUGAUCUGAUGAGACACCUCAUCUGUGAAGAGCCUGCCCAGGAUGUUCCAGGUCACCCUCUUCACAUCCUGGCCUCCAAUGGUGGCCAAAGAAGAAAUCUAAAAGGCAAAGACAUCUUUUUUAAAUAGACAGCAAGUGGAGGAGGGGUAUGGCCACGAAACCAUCCCUGUAUGGCAAGGCUACACAUUUCUGUCGCAGCGCUGACAC